RNAcentral lists this ribosomal RNA (512 nucleotides) under uncultured bacterium. RNAcentral's name for it is "partial 16S ribosomal RNA". It matches the Rfam family "Bacterial small subunit ribosomal RNA", at positions 28 to 507 of the family's 1533-position model. The record is from RNAcentral.
GAUGAACGCUGGCGGCGUGCCUAAUACAUGCAAGUCGAACGAAACUUCUUUAUCACCGAGUGCUUGCACUCACCGAUAAAGGGUUGAGUGGCGAACGGGUGAGUAACACGUGGGCAACCUGCCCAAAAGAGGGGGAUAACACUUGGAAACAGGUGCUAAUACCGCAUAACCAUAGUUACCGCAUGGUAACUAUGUAAAAGGUGGCUAUACUACCGCUUUUGGAUGGGCCCGCGGCGCAUUAGCUAGUUGGUAGGGUAAAGGCUUACCAAGGCAAUGAUGCGUAGCCGAAUUGAGAGGUUGAUCGGCCACAUUGGGACUGAGACACGGCCCAAACUCCUACGGGAGGCAGCAGUAGGGAAUCUUCCACAAUGGGCGAAAGCCUGAUGGAGCAACGCCGCGUGGGUGAAGAAGGUCUUCGGAUCGUAAAACCCUGUUGUUAGAGAAGAAAGUGCGUGAGAGUAACUGUUCACGUUUCGACGGUAUCUAACCAGAAAGCCACGGCUAACUACGUG